GCCUCUAUAGUGAUAAUUGGUAGCACCCCUGUCUUGUAAACAGGGAGUCGGGGUUCGAGUCCUCGUGGAGGCU
This is a transfer RNA of 73 nucleotides. It matches the Rfam family "tRNA". From Rfam's summary of the family: Transfer RNA (tRNA) molecules are approximately 80 nucleotides in length. Their secondary structure includes four short double-helical elements and three loops (D, anti-codon, and T loops).